AAAGGCAGUGAUGGUGUCUGGACCACCAAGAUGUAACAAUAGAAAUGAGGCCCAAAAUGCCUGAAGUGCUCCAUCUACUUCAGUUGCAUGAGCGCACAAAUUACCUUGGUUGUGAGAGAUGAGCCCGAUUGCAAAUGCAGCUACCCGGUCAGCCAUCAAAUAGGCCAGCCAUAAGAGGAAAAUGAUGUGAUCAUUCGCCGUUUUCUUUCUAAUGGGUGAAAAUAGAAUGAGAAAGACCUGAAGCAAGAGGCUUAGCAGGACAAAGCUUCGAAUGUUCCAUUUGUUCCACAAAUCAGAAAUAGAGCUAAACGCC
RNAcentral lists this long non-coding RNA (313 nucleotides) under Eucalyptus grandis. Its description in RNAcentral is "long non-coding RNA (EGRA_LNC007725)". Lineage: Eukaryota; Viridiplantae; Streptophyta; Magnoliopsida; Myrtales; Myrtaceae. The record is from RNAcentral.